GUGGGGAAUAUUGCACAAUGGGCGAAAGCCUGAUGCAGCAACGCCGCGUGGGGGAUGACGGCCUUCGGGUUGUAAACCUCUUUUAGUAGGGAAGAAGCGAAAGUGACGGUACCUGCAGAAAAAGCACCGGCUAACUACGUGCCAGCAGCCGCGGUAAUACGUAGGGUGCAAGCGUUGUCCGGAAUUAUUGGGCGUAAAGAGCUCGUAGGCGGUUUGUCGCGUCUGCUGUGAAAUCCCGAGGCUCAACCUCGGGCCUGCAGUGGGUACGGGCAGACUAGAGUGCGGUAGGGGAGAUUGGAAUUCCUGGUGUAGCGGUGGAAUGCGCAGAUAUCAGGAGGAACACCGAUGGCGAAGGCAGAUCUCUGGGCCGCUACUGACGCUGAGGAGCGAAAGCAUGGGGAGCGAACAGGAUUAGAAACCCUGGUAGUCC
RNAcentral lists this ribosomal RNA (430 nucleotides) under uncultured bacterium. RNAcentral's name for it is "partial 16S ribosomal RNA". It matches the Rfam family "Bacterial small subunit ribosomal RNA", at positions 354 to 796 of the family's 1533-position model. The record is from RNAcentral.